This 294-nucleotide ribosomal RNA is filed under the name Triticum aestivum (bread wheat). Its description in RNAcentral is "partial small subunit ribosomal RNA". Lineage: Eukaryota; Viridiplantae; Streptophyta; Magnoliopsida; Poales; Poaceae. The record is from RNAcentral.
AUGGCCCUCGGCCACGAGCUCGUCCACCAUGGUUACUCGCAGUCGUCAAAGUGGAGCACGGACAUCAGUCCAAAUCUGGAGUGGAAGCUUAUAUAUGUUGGAUCAGCUGAAGAUGAGAACUAUUAUCAGCAACUUGAGAGUGUGCUUGUUGGCCCUGUGAAUGUUGGGACAUGCUGUUUUGUUCUGGAGGUUGUGCGUUUACUAACCAGAAGUCUACCCCAGUUGAGCAAAGAAAAUUCUACAUCAGUUCAGACUAAAAAACACCAUAAAUUUAAGAGGAAGAAAAAAAAUUAA